RNAcentral lists this ribosomal RNA (253 nucleotides) under uncultured bacterium. Its description in RNAcentral is "partial 16S ribosomal RNA". It matches the Rfam family "Bacterial small subunit ribosomal RNA", at positions 524 to 776 of the family's 1533-position model. The record is from RNAcentral.
UACGUAGGGGGCAAGCGUUAAUCGGAAUUACUGGGCGUAAAGCGUGCGCAGGCGGUUAUGUAAGCCAGGUGUGAAAUCCCCGGGCUUAACCUGGGAACUGCAUUUGUGACUGCAUUGCUAGAGUACGGUAGAGGGGGAUGGAAUUCCGCGUGUAGCAGUGAAAUGCGUAGAUAUGCGGAGGAACACCGAUGGCGAAGGCAAUCCCCUGGACCUGUACUGACGCUCAUGCACGAAAGCGUGGGGAGCAAACAGG